This 336-nucleotide unclassified non-coding RNA is filed under the name soil metagenome. Its description in RNAcentral is "partial contains 5.8S ribosomal RNA, internal transcribed spacer 2, and large subunit ribosomal RNA". The stretch from base 1 to 120 matches the Rfam family "5.8S ribosomal RNA", at positions 35 to 154 of the family's 154-position model. The record is from RNAcentral.
GAUGAAGAACGUAGCGAAAUGCGAUAAGUAGUGUGAAUUGCAGACUUUAGUGAAUCAUCGAAUCUUUGAACGCACAUUGCGCCCCUUGGUAUUCCGAGGGGCAUGCCUGUUCGAGCGUCAUUUCAACCCCUCAAGCUUAGCUUGGUGUUGGGCUGCGCCAGCGUUGCUGGCGGGCCUUAAAAUCAGUGGCGGUGCCGUUUGGGCUCCAAGCGUAGUAGCAUCUCUCGCUCUGGAGACCCGGCGGUUGCUUGCCAGACAAUCACUAAAAAAACAAAGGUUUGACCUCGGAUCAGGUAGGGAUACCCGCUGAACUUAAGCAUAUCAAUAAGCGGAGGA